UAGGGAAUAUUGGACAAUGGGUGAGAGCCUGAUCCAGCCAUGCCGCGUGCAGGAAGAAGGCGUUAUGCGUUGUAAACUGCUUUUGCCAGGGGAUAAAAGGACCGUGCGCGGUUAAUUGAAGGUACCUGGUGAAUAAGCCACGGCUAACUACGUGCCAGCAGCCGCGGUAAUACGUAGGUGGCAAGCGUUGUCCGGAUUUAUUGGGUUUAAAGGGUGCGUAGGUGGCCCUGUAAGUCAGUGGUGAAAUAUCUCAGCUUAACUGAGAGGGUGCCAUUGAUACUGCAGGGCUUGAGUACAGAUGAGGUAGGCGGAAUUGACGGUGUAGCGGUGAAAUGCAUAGAUAUCGUCAAGAACACCGAUAGCGAAGGCAGCUUACCAAGCUGUAACUGACACUGAGGCACGAAAGUGUGGGGAUCAAACAGGAUUAGAUACCCUUGUAGUCCCUGAGCGGGCUGGCAAGGCGCAU
Molecule: ribosomal RNA, 466 nt
Filed under: uncultured bacterium
Lineage: Bacteria
Description: bacterial SSU rRNA
Rfam family: Bacterial small subunit ribosomal RNA
Source: RNAcentral